Molecule: long non-coding RNA, 1348 nt
Organism: Felis catus (domestic cat)
Lineage: Eukaryota; Metazoa; Chordata; Mammalia; Carnivora; Felidae
Exons: 3
Source: RefSeq, a predicted model, not a curated record
UGUCUUGAUUAUCCUAGUAUAUUAUGCGCUCAUCCUAAUGCUUAGUAUGGUGCGUGGCAUAAGUAAGUUACAAUAAAUAUUCGUUGAGGGGAUGAAUGGAUGGGGUAGAGAUCGACAUAGAAAGAUGAAUUAUGGAAUAACAUUAAUUCAUCCAUCCCAUAUUUAUCAAGGUAUUCUUUGCUAGUGGCUGAGGAUACAGUGCUAAAGAAAAGAGAUAUUCCCUGCCACCAUGGCGCCUCCAGGUAAGGGGGCCAUCGUUUAGCAAAUGACGUCAAAUGCGGUGAAUGCUAUAGGAGAAAAGACGCAGGUGGCUAAGGCAAUGUACAACAAGGGAAGCUCUUCUAGACCAUGGAGUGUGGAAGACUUCUCUGAGACCCACAUUCUGAGCAGUUUGGUGAGGAAGGAGGUGGGCUAAGAGAAGGCUACUCCAGGUAAAAGGAAUAGCAUGUGUAGGGCAGCAGGAUAAGACACCAUGGAUGUACCCCAAGGACCAAAAAGUGGCCAGGAUUCCAGCUUCUGACAGGGUUCCAGGGUGGAGAAAGCAAUGUCAUGAAGUCAUAGAGGCCAUCAGUCACCAAGUUCUGAAGGAAGCCAUGAAAAGAACUUUAGAUUUUACCCAGAGUAUUAAAAAGCCAUUGAAGAGGCUUGUGAUCAGAUCUGAGUUUUCCGCAGACCUCUUUGGCCUUUGUGUGGCUUGUGGACACCAAAGGGAGUGACGUGCAGGGUGAUGAGUUGGCGGGUAGCUGCAGUUGCCCAGAACUUCUGCUGCUGGAAACAGAUGAGGACUCUCCACUCCAUGUGGAACUUGCUUUGUGACAGUCGCUAAUCCUGCUUGGCUCAGCAGUUUGGAAUGGCGGAUCCCAUAGAGAGCGUUCUUCAGCAAGGAGCGAAAAGCGACGUGUGAAUGUAUAGAAAAUACUCUCAAGGUAGUGUCUUAGCCUUUGGAAAUGCUUCAAAUUGUUACCUGGGAGACCUUAACUACAGGGAAUCCUUCAGAAGCGUUCUGUCCUCAGCCGUGACACUGCCAAAGGGAAGAAAUGAGGUCUAAAGAAAAAUGCAGACACCCUUAGAACCACGUACGACCUGUUCAUUAAAAGUGAAUGUAAGAGUUAGCACAAGUUGAUCCGGAAAAGUUCAUUUUUAUCUCUGCCUCCAAUAACUGCUUCAGAUGAGUGUCCUGAACGGGUGCAGCUCAAUGUAAUGCAUCCUGUCGCAGACUGCUUUUGAUACAGAAUUGUGUUAAGCAUUUUGAUGAGGAUCGUACACACCCAAGCGCCAAACCCGGCUCUGUUUCGAGAUUCCAAAUUUCUGAAGGAGACGGGGGGAUAAAUGCAGAAUUCUGCCAUUA